Long non-coding RNA from Scleropages formosus (Asian bonytongue), 210 nucleotides. RefSeq lists it as uncharacterized. The transcript has 2 exons. NCBI's taxonomy places the organism in Eukaryota, Metazoa, Chordata, Actinopteri, Osteoglossiformes, Osteoglossidae. The record is from RefSeq and is a predicted model, not a curated record.
GAGUAGGUGGAGGGAUGGCUUUAUCGCUACCGUGAUUUACCUCUGUCUGAGCGGUACGGAGAGCGCGCGUGUGCUAAACGAGGUGUGAAGAACGCCAGCGUGAAUGAGGAAUGACACCGAGCAGCACACGCGAAGGGGAGAUGGCAGAUGACAUCGGCGCCGACGCCGCACGGUGCUGAAAGACAGAAGGCUGUGGGCGUUAUGAGAAAA